UACGAAGGGGACAAGCGUUGUUCGGAAUCAUUGGGCGUAAAGCGCACGUAGGCGGGCUUGUAAGUCGAUUGUGAAAACCCUGGGCUUAACCUGGGACCUGCAGUCGAAACUACAAGUCUUGAAUGCUCGAGAGGAUGGUGGAAUUCCAGGAGUAGAAGUGAAAUUCGUAGAUAUCUGGAGGAACACCGGAGGCGAAAGCGGCCAUCUGGCGAGACAUUGACGCUAAGAUGCGAAAGCGUGGGGAGCAAACAGG
This 253-nucleotide ribosomal RNA is filed under the name uncultured bacterium. RNAcentral's name for it is "partial 16S ribosomal RNA". It matches the Rfam family "Bacterial small subunit ribosomal RNA", at positions 524 to 776 of the family's 1533-position model. The record is from RNAcentral.